This is a non-coding RNA of Acyrthosiphon pisum (pea aphid), 57 nucleotides long. NCBI's taxonomy places the organism in Eukaryota, Metazoa, Arthropoda, Insecta, Hemiptera, Aphididae. The record is from Rfam.
UUUCCUACAAUGUCCGGUUAAAGUUAACCGACACUUUACUAGAAAUUGUAAGAACGG